RNAcentral lists this ribosomal RNA (378 nucleotides) under uncultured bacterium. RNAcentral's name for it is "partial 16S ribosomal RNA". It matches the Rfam family "Bacterial small subunit ribosomal RNA", at positions 338 to 733 of the family's 1533-position model. The record is from RNAcentral.
CCUACGGGAGGCAGCAGUGGGGAAUAUUGCACAAUGGGGGAAACCCUGAUGCAGCGACGCAGCGUGAGUGAAGACGUAUCUCGGUACGUAAAGCUCUAUCAGCAGGGAAGAAAAUGACGGUACCUGACUAAGAUGCCCCGGCUAACUACGUGCCAGCAGCCGCGGUAAUACGGAGGGGGCCAGCGUUAUCCGGAUUUACUGGGUGUAAAGGGAGCGUAGACGGCAUAACAAGUCUGGAGUGAAAUCCCUGGGCUUAACCCCGGAACUGCUUUGGAAACUGUGCGGCUGGAGUGCAGGAAGGGUAAGUGGAAUUCCUAGUGUAGCGGUGAAAUGCGUAGAUAUUAGGAGGAACACCGGUGGCGAAGGCGGCUUACUGGA